UACGUAGGGUGCGAGCGUUGUCCGGAAUUAUUGGGCGUAAAGGGCUCGUAGGCGGUUUGUCGCGUCGGGAGUGAAAACACACAGCUUAACUGUGUGCUUGCUUUCGAUACGGGCAGACUAGAGGUAUGCAGGGGAGAACGGAAUUCCUGGUGUAGCGGUGAAAUGCGCAGAUAUCAGGAGGAACACCGGUGGCGAAGGCGGUUCUCUGGGCAUUACCUGUCGCUGAGGAGUGAAAGUGUGGGGAGCGAACAGG
RNAcentral lists this ribosomal RNA (253 nucleotides) under uncultured bacterium. RNAcentral describes it as "partial 16S ribosomal RNA". It matches the Rfam family "Bacterial small subunit ribosomal RNA", at positions 524 to 776 of the family's 1533-position model. The record is from RNAcentral.